RNAcentral lists this long non-coding RNA (731 nucleotides) under Rattus norvegicus (Norway rat). RNAcentral describes it as "long non-coding RNA NONRATT029656". Lineage: Eukaryota; Metazoa; Chordata; Mammalia; Rodentia; Muridae. The record is from RNAcentral.
AGAUGGUGGGGAACAGGCCCCUGUUGGUGCCUCAUUUCUGAAGCUGAACCCCGACAGUGGACAUGUCUGCAAGAAACAUGGCGGUGGAGUAGUAUGCUUGUCCUCUCUGUCCAGAAAGCAUUCCAUUUCCUGAAUGCUUUGGCCAACCCUGGUAUUGGGGUGAGGACGGGAUGUGGGGUGUGGAGAUCGGCUUCAGUGCUGGGCUCGCGCUGCACUUCCAACGUCUUUGUGGGGGUGACAAUUUAGUGUCAACGCACCGAUGGAGUUUCCAAGACCCAGACUUGAGAACGCCUCAGGCCUGGGCUUCAGAGAGCUCUGAGGCCUACAGUGGCAGCCUCUGGCAUGAGAGUUGUUAAUCCACCAGAGGACGAGUUUAAAACAAACUACUCAGGAAUGAGGGCUAAUAAAGUCGAAGGAAGGAGCUGGCAUUUGCAAGAACAUUGCAGGAAGAGUGAGAUCAAGGAGACAGGAGGGAACUGCCCAAGGCCUGAGGUGGACAGAGGUGGCCCCUCAGCAAACUGGUCUGGACCGCACGCCUCCAUAUGGCCUACACCAAGACUUCCUACUUCCCUCCUGAAAUCCCUUCUGUGAAGAGAGAUUUAUCAAGACGAUGUGAGGCACCUGUGAGUUCUGGCAGCGCAUCCCUGUGGCUUUCCCAUGCUCCUGCCUCAUGCGUACUGAAGUAAACUCUGAGACGUGAUUGAUGCCAGUGACCCCUUCCCCACAGGAUG